UACGCUGGCGGCACGCCUAACACAUGCAAGUCGAACGAAGUAGCAAUACUUAGUGGCAAACGGGUGAGUAUAAUGUGGGAAUCUGCCAUUUGGCCUGGAACAACACGAGGAAACUUGUGCUAAUACCGGAUAAGCCUUUACGGGGAAAGCUUUAUGCACCGAAUGAUGAGCCCGCACUUGAUUAGCUAGUUGGUAAGGUAAAAGCUUACCAAGGCUUCGAUCAAUAGCUGAUCUGAGAGGAUGAUCAGCCACAUUGGGACUGAGACACGGCCCAAACUCCUACGGGAGGCAGCAGUGGGGAAUCUUGCACAAUGGGGGAAACCCUGAUGCAGCGAUGCCGCGUGAGUGAAGAAGGCCUUUGGGUUGUAAAGCUCUUUCGUCAGGGAAGAAAAUGACUGUACCUGAAUAAGAAGGUCCGGCUAACUUCGUGCCAGCAGCCGCGGUAAUACGAAGGGACCUAGCGUAGUUCGGAAUUACUGGGCUUAAAGAGCACGUAGGUGGUUAAAAAAGUUGGUGGUGAAAUCCCAAGGCUUAACCUUGGAACUGCCAUCAAAACUUUUUAGCUAGAGUGUGAUAGAGGGAAGCGGAAUUUCUAGUGUAGAGGUGAAAUUCGUAGAUAUUAGAAAGAACACCAAUUGCGAAGGCAGCUUUCUGGAUCACUACUGACACUGAGGUGCGAGAGCAUGGGUAGCGAAGAGGAUUAGAUACCCUCGUAGUCCAUGCCGUAAACGAUGUGUGCUAGACGUUGGAAAUUUUAUUUUCAGUGUCGCAGCAAAAGCAUUAAGCACACCGCCUGGGGAGUACGACC
This 808-nucleotide ribosomal RNA is filed under the name uncultured Pelagibacteraceae bacterium. Its description in RNAcentral is "bacterial SSU rRNA". It matches the Rfam family "Bacterial small subunit ribosomal RNA", at positions 32 to 887 of the family's 1533-position model. Lineage: Bacteria; Pseudomonadati; Pseudomonadota; Alphaproteobacteria; Candidatus Pelagibacterales; Candidatus Pelagibacteraceae. The record is from RNAcentral.